UCUCCUUUCUCUAAUCAAUGAAACUGAUCUUCCCGUGAAGAAGCGGGAAUUAAUUUAUAAGACGAGAAGACCCCAUGGAGCUUUAAACCCAAUUACAUCCCUAUAUUUUAUUCCCUUUUAAUCUUUAAGGCCCUGUACAUCUGGUUUUAGGUUGGGGUGACCGCGGAGCACAAAUCAGCCUCCACGAUGAAUGGAAUUAUUCCCUUAUCUAAGAAUUACAUUUCUAAGAAUUAAUAUUUUAACAUUUAAUGAUCCAAUAAUUGAUCAACGAACCAAGUUACCCUGGGGAUAACAGCGCAAUCCACUUCAAGAGCUCCUAUCGACAAGUGGGUU
Molecule: ribosomal RNA, 333 nt
Filed under: Blommersia dejongi
Lineage: Eukaryota; Metazoa; Chordata; Amphibia; Anura; Mantellidae
Description: partial 16S ribosomal RNA
Rfam family: Bacterial large subunit ribosomal RNA
Source: RNAcentral